This 723-nucleotide long non-coding RNA is filed under the name Triticum aestivum (bread wheat). RNAcentral's name for it is "long non-coding RNA (TAES_LNC001895)". Lineage: Eukaryota; Viridiplantae; Streptophyta; Magnoliopsida; Poales; Poaceae. The record is from RNAcentral.
CAAUUUGGCAGGAACUUCAUCAGAAAGAUAAUGUCCCUACAUGAGCUCACGAACCGCUCAAGAUCUCAAAGCCGAAUCAUAUGUGUUAUCCAACGGAGCACAUGGAGAAAUGCGUGUAAGUAAAUGUUUAUCCAAGAAGGAUGGCGGUUCAUAUAGCAUAUCAGCGAAGCAUCUUACAGUAUGUGCCUGCAAUAAGAAACUAUUGACAAAGUUCCCAUAUUCUGUAAAAUGCUUGGAUUCCUUUUACAUAUGGUGGCGCUUCAUCAUGCAUCUAUUGUUUACAUGGACUUGUACUCAGUUGUGCUUCCUGGUUGCUUCCUGCAAGAAAAAAAAUCGAAAGCAGAAUGUCUGUGAUUAAGCAAAGAGGUACGGGUGAUGGGCAAAAAAAAACUAUUCCAGAUGUAAGCUUGGUGCAAGAUCUAAAACAGCAAACAACCCAGGACUGGAGCAAACAAGACAGUCAAGGGGAUUCCUUCUCCUGAUAACAACUGAAUUGAUAUAUCGUAUGUGUUUCUUAAGGACUGAAGGAGAUAAUUUGUUUCUGAGGGCACACCUUGCUGUUGAAACAUAGCAGUUCUUAGUUCUUGUACUUCAUGGUCUCUUUCUCGAAUCCAAUUGUUGGGAAUUGUUUCGCAUAUUCCUCCACAUCGUGGCGAAGCUUUGCAAUUUCAGCUUGGAUGUUGCUGUCGGAUUGCAAAGUGGCAACGAAGUCCUUCAGUUUGG